Molecule: ribosomal RNA, 451 nt
Filed under: uncultured bacterium
Lineage: Bacteria
Description: partial 16S ribosomal RNA
Rfam family: Bacterial small subunit ribosomal RNA
Source: RNAcentral
AACGAACGCUGGCGGCAGGCUUAACACAUGCAAGUCGAACGGGUGUAGCAAUACAUCAGUGGCAGACGGGUGAGUAACACGUGGGAACCUUCCUAGAGGUACGGAACAACUCAGGGAAACUUGAGCUAAUACCGUAUAAGCUCUUGCGAGGAAAGAUUUAUCGCCUUUAGACGGGCCCGCGUAGGAUUAGGUAGUUGGUGGGGUAAUGGCCUACUAAGCCUACGAUCCUUAGCUGAUCUGAGAGGAUGAUCAGCCACACUGGGACUGAGACACGGCCCAGACUCCUACGGGAGGCAGCAGUGGGGAAUCUUGGACAAUGGGCGCAAGCUUGAUCCAGCCAUGCCGCGUGAGUGAAGAAGGCCUUCGGGUUGUAAAGCUCUUUUACCAGGGACGAUAAUGACGGUACCUGGAGAAUAAGCCCCGGCAAACUUCGUGCCAGCCGCCGCAGUAA